GCCUUUGUCUUCCUGUGCCACCAGCAAACCAGGCCUUUGUCUUCCUGGCCACCACAGACUGCUACUGCAUGGGGGCUCUGGUGGUAGGACAGUGUUUACGACGACACAGGACCACACGCCAGACUGUUGUGAUGCUCUCCACUAAUAUCUCUAAGCCAGGCACGGGCUGUCCUGGGCCAUGUGUUUGACCAGGUCCUGGUAGUGGACGUGCUGGACAGUGGAGACCAAGCACAUCUAUCUUGGCUGGGACAACCAGAACCGGGGGGUCACUUUCACCAAGCUCCACUGUUGGACCCUCACCCAAUACAGCAAAUGUGUGUUCCUGGAUGCAGACACACUCAGCCAGGGGAGAGAAGAAGAGAAGGCAAAGGGGAAAUAAAAAGGGGAGAGAAGAAGAGAAGCCAAAGGGAAGAGAAGAAGAAAAGCCAAAGGGAAGAGAAGAAGAAAAGCCAAAGGGGAGAGAAGAAGAAAAGCCAAACGGGAGAGAAGAAGAAAAGCCAAAGGGGAGAGAAGAAGAAUAACCAAAGGGGAGAGAAGAAGAAUAACCAAAGGGGAGAGAAGAAGAGAAGCCAAAGGGGAGAGAAGAAGAAUAACCAAAGGGGAGAGGAGAAGCCAAAGGUUAGAGAAGCUACAGUGUCGUUGAUAGAGAACCUCACAGAAUCAUUACUCCGAGAAGUCACUCUGCUCACAGAGGAAAGGGAGAAGAGGCCCGAUUACCCACAAAGCCAGGAGAAAUGAGACAGAGGAGGAUGAUCUGGAGCAGCGCUGGCUGUGGGAGGAGGGCCAGGCGGACUACCUUGGCAAAGACGCCUUCGACAAAAUCCCGAAAAAACUGGACCGAUUCUUAGAUUAGAAGCAUGUUUUGUGUGGCAAGAUACUGUAGCAAUAGUACUGUAUUCUCAUGUUCAUGCUUAUGUGUGUUAUGUCUGUAGUGUAGGCCACUCUAAUAGUUAAAAAAAAAAAAAAAAAAUUGGAAUCAAGUUUGUCCUUUUGUUGUAAAAAUAAAUAAAAAUAAACUUGAUUCCAAUUUCAUUAAAAAAUGUGGCCAUUGAAUUCAAGUUGAAAUCCAUUCCUUAUUUUGAUGUUAUGCUGGAAAUAUCUGGAAGAUUUGAAAUUGUGUUUAUGUUGCCACUAGAGGGUACUGUAGCUUUUUAAAUAACGCACUUUUCCUGGUGUUACGGAUACAGGUAUCCUGUGUCUGUGUGUGUGUGUAUCCUGUGUACUUUUCUCUCCUUCUCCCCUCACAGGUGAAAAUCAUCACUCCCCAAUCAGUCAACAAUCAAUCAUCAAUCAGAAGACACACCUCCUCCUGUUUCCUACCCUAUCACAGUUCCUUUCCCUUGGUUUAAAAACCCCAUCAUUUGUUUGCUCUAGAGCUCAAUCUCUCUGUAAAUGCC
Oncorhynchus tshawytscha (Chinook salmon) is the source of this 1397-nucleotide long non-coding RNA. The record is from Ensembl. Lineage: Eukaryota; Metazoa; Chordata; Actinopteri; Salmoniformes; Salmonidae.